Molecule: ribosomal RNA, 201 nt
Filed under: uncultured Streptococcaceae bacterium
Lineage: Bacteria; Bacillati; Bacillota; Bacilli; Lactobacillales; Streptococcaceae
Description: partial 16S ribosomal RNA
Rfam family: Bacterial small subunit ribosomal RNA
Source: RNAcentral
GGGGGAUAACUAUUGGAAACGAUAGCUAAUACCGCAUAAGAGUAGAUGUCGCAUGACAUUUGCUUAAAAGGUGCAAUUGCAUCACUACCAGAUGGACCUGCGUUGUAUUAGCUAGUUGGUGGGGUAACGGCUCACCAAGGCGACGAUACAUAACCGACCUGAGAGGGUGAUCGGCCACACUGGGACUGAGACACGGCCCAG